Long non-coding RNA from Condylura cristata (star-nosed mole), 3661 nucleotides. RefSeq lists it as uncharacterized. The record is from RefSeq and is a predicted model, not a curated record. The transcript has 3 exons. NCBI's taxonomy places the organism in Eukaryota, Metazoa, Chordata, Mammalia, Eulipotyphla, Talpidae.
CAUCUCUGGUCUCUUGGCCUCUCCAAGGCCCACCGGAGAGAGCUGACGUGCGGUUCCUAUAAUCCUUAUGGGGGACCAACCUUGUACUUCUGGGAGAUCCACGCUCCCACCUGGAAACACACGGGAAAUCAAGCCUCCCAAAAAACGCUGCCUCCUAGCUCCGCGGUGGGAUUAUCCUGAAGGAACCCCCGACCGAGGUAGUAACCCUCUCCCCUCAGCACCUCCUCCUGCAUCAUCCGGCCUGAAAUCGCAUCUUCCUCCUCCGGAGAAGUAGUAGAAUAUACUUCUCCCAAUCCAAACCAGUUUUUGAAAGAUAACAGUAUGACUUCAUCUCUUUGGUGCAUUCAUAAAGUAGUUCAUCCAGAGAAGACAAUGAAAAUUGUUGACAAUACCAUCCUGCUGCUUCUGAUGCCUGGAACCUGGAAGUUGUGGUUUUUAAGUGUUAUGAUGUAAUCAGCAUAAACUCAACUCCUGAAUUUGGAUGAAUUCUGGAACAUGACCAAGAUCAGGCUAUAGACCUCUAAGAUAGAAAGCCUUGGCCUGGAUGAUUGAGAACUCACCAAAUCAAAUGCUGUCUUUGAAAUGGUUCUUCAGCAGUUAAUAAGUGUUUUCUUUUUAUGACACUGAGUCCUUGUUGUAUAAUUUUGAAAUCCUAUAAAUCCCUUAAGGGCCCAAUAAAAUUUGUCUUAUUGUUGUUAUAUAGAUGACUACUAUCUAGUAACUUGUAAAUUUUUAGUAAAUAUGUCAGAGUUACUCCAAAUAUAAAAUAUUAUAAAAAUUGUUAAAAUAUUAUUUUCUUCCUAUAAAUGGCCAUCCAUUCAAUGUUUUGUGAAAAUAUCACGAAAGUCAGAGCAUGAGGUGCAAAAAUUGAAAAAAUGUUAAGUCUUAGCAUAUUUUCUUCACUUUUCUGUAAAUUUUCUAUGGUAUCUGUCACCUUUCUGUUUUUGUAAAUUUUUAAUCGAGGUAUUAUCGGUUUACUUCAUUGUUAGGAUUUGGGAAAUACAGGAUCCCCAUUUUCAGAUGUAGUUACCAUAUCUCACCUACCAUAAAAGCACUCAUUCAUCUGUAGCUAUUCUAUCUAUUGAUAGCUAUCUUUUUAUUCCUUAACUAUUUUCCUGGUCAAGAUGUUUGGUGUACUUGCUAUUUGUAAUUUUCUACUUUGCUUCUAAUAUAUUCAGUUAUAAAUAAAGUAUCUUAAUUUAAAGCAUUAUAAAUAUAAUGGUAAAAUAACAUAAGAAUGGGAUAAAUUCAGGUGGCAAUUUACUUUUUCAUAUAGUUCAUGAACUGUUCAGAUAUUAGAGAAAAAUAGUUAAGUUGGGAGAUCUUUACACUGACUAAUAUAGUAAAGAUACAGUAAUUCAAACAGUAUGUUACUGGCAUGAACAUAUAAAACCUAGGAAAGGACACUGAGCUCCAUAAGAAGUUAAAGGUAGUGUUUAAAAUUUGUGAAGUUUUAUUUAUUAAAUUGAAAGAACAUUUGAUUAACCAUAUGGGUAAAAUGUUAGACCUCUCCUUUCAAAACAAAUUUAAAUGAAAGACAUCAAAUUAUUAAAACUUAUUAGAAGUGAACCUUGCGAUUAUAUUAUUGUGGAAUGGGCAAAAUCUUGAGUUAAUACCUACAAUAUAGCAAGCACUAUACCAAGUAAUGGGAACAUAAUGAUAAGUAAGAUAGCAGCAAUCUCUGUUGACGUAGCUUACAAUAUAACAGAAAGGGCAGAUAAUUAAAUGUGCUAGAAGUCAUAGCUGGAUUUACAUGCUCAAAUGCCCACAGAUAUCUCUCCUUAUUUCUUAGUUCAGCUUUCCUUCCCUUUAUUUUCAGUCAGGUUGUCUUUAUAUUGAGAAAGAUGGCACUCUAGUACCGUCAGGAUUAUAUUAUACUGAGCUCACCAAUUCAAAAGAGAGGUCUUUUUUUCACCUUUCAAUAUCAAUAGCUAAAAAACAAACAAACAAACAAACAUUAUUUGGCCCCAUUUGGAUCAUAUAACAAUUUAUGGAUGGGUCACAAUCCACCAGUUGGCUGUUCUGAUUGACCAGUGUAAGAUUAUAUAUCCACCACUAUGGAGAGGAAGAUGAGGCUCCUUGAUUGAUUUACUGGGGGUGGGGGUGGAGGGAGGAAUGCCCAAAAAAAGGGAUAUAGGGCAGGUUAAAAAGUAACAAAUACCCACUCUGAAACUGAAGAAUUAUGAAUAGCAAUUAAACAGAAAGAAAGAGGGUGUCAAUCAGACAGAACUAUAAUAUGAAAGCCCAAAGGGGAGAAAGUUUCCCCAUUAGACAAAUUAAAUGACAAUUCAGCUAAAAUAGAAAGCAAAUUAAGUUACAGGAGAUCACGCAGAAAAAAAUAGGUAAAGGACAUCACAACAAAAGAUGUCAAUCAGAUUAUACAGUGUAGUCUUUAUAUAAAAAUAAUUUUUAGUACAGAAAAAUGUGCACAAGAUAAAACUUACCAUUUUUAUCAUUUUUAAAGUUUCAGUAGCUUUGGUACAUUCACAUAUCCCAAUACACAGCCAUCAGCACCAUCCAUCUCUAGAACUUAUUCAUCUUCUCUAACUAGAAUUCUACCCUUUAAACAAUAACUCUAUAUAUUUCUUAAUUUUCCCACCCCCUGAAUACCACAAUUCUGCAAGCUUAACUACUCAAAUACCUGAUAUUAGUGGAAUCAUAUAAUCUUUUAGCUUAUUUCACUUAGCAUAAUAUGUUCAAGUUUCUUCUGUGUUAUAGCUUGAUAUCAGAAUUUCCUUUUUAUGAUUGUACAUAGAAUUUACUACAUAAACUGUUUUUAAGUAUACAUUUCAGUAUAUAAACAUUAUGUCAAUCAACCUACAUAACUCUUUUCAUCCUGCAAAACUAAAAUUUUCACACAUCAACUCCUUAUUUCUUUCUCUCAUUCCUCUAGCCUCUGGCAGAUAUUUCUCCACUUAUUGUUGCUAAGAGUUUGACUAUUCUAGAUACCUCAUAUGUAUAGAAUCAUAAAAUAUUCGUCUCUUUAUGAUUGAUAGUAUUUCACUUAGCAUAAUGUUCUCAAGCUUUAUCUAUACUGUAGCAAGUGGCAAAAUUUCAUUCCACAUAUAUUUUAAGGACUUCAGGCUUUUUGAUGGUGAAAACAAAUUUAUCUAUCAGAAGCAUUGUUUGUUCAUUGUAAAUUAACAUCAUAUUUAAAAUAACAUUAUAAAAGAGAAAUGACAAUUUUUCUCCUACCCCCCACAGUGACAACAAAACAAUUUGAGUUAGUUAACUUUUAGCCCAACUCAAGGUCAAGUGUUUUUCACAACUCAGUGUUGCAAAAGUAAGCUUAUAGGCAAUAUUAUUCAUUUCUUCAGCAGUGUACAAAGUAAUUUGCAAUUGAAAAAUUUUCAGUCAGGUAAUGUUUAAAGUUUGGUGGUUAUUUGCAGUUAGCUAAAUUUUAAAAUGAUGGAGUCUAUCUUGCUAGUCUUUUUUUUUUUUUGGGGGUGGGGGUAAACUGCCAAAUAACCUCAUGUCAAUUCAUAAUUGAUAAAUUAUAGCUUAUCUCCAAAAUGUCUAUAUAAUUUUGCAUUCCUUGAUUGCCCGGUAAUGCUGGUAAGAAACAAGAAUGUUACCAAUGUUUGUACUGUAAAGAAUGCCAUAAAAUAUUCCAACUGAUGUGCCACUAAAACUCACAUUCCCUUUUCCAAAAGGUGAAUAA